GUAACGCGUGAGCGACAUGCCCGUUGCCCGGGGACAACCGGUGGAAACGCCGACUAAUCCCCGAUGGGAUAUUGUGCCGCAUGGCACGAUAUUGAAAGUUACGGCGGCGACGGAUUGGCUCGCGUCCGAUUAGCUUGUUGGCGGGGUAACGGCCCACCAAGGCUACGAUCGGUAGGGGUUCUGAGAGGAAGGCCCCCCACAAUGGGACUGAGACACGGCCCAUACUCCUACGGGAGGCAGCAGUGAGGAAUAUUGGUCAAUGGGCGGAAGCCUGAACCAGCCAUGCCGCGUGCGGGAAGGAGGCCCUAUGGGCUGUGAACCGCUUUUGCCUGGGGGCAAUAAGGGCGUCGCGCACGCCCGAUGAGAGUACCAGGCGAAUAAGCAUCGGCUAACUCCGUGCCAGCAGCCGCGGUAAUACGGGGGAUGCGAGCGUUAUCCGGAUUCAUUGGGUUUAAAGGGUGCGUAGGCUGUGCGUCAAGUCGGGGGUGAAAUUCCGGUGCUCAACACCGGGGCUGCCCUUGAUACUGUCGCGCUGGAGUGCGGAUGCCGCCGGAGGAAUGAGUGGUGUAGCGGUGAAAUGCUUAGAUAUCACUCAGAACACCGAUUGCGAAGGCAUCUGGC
This 621-nucleotide ribosomal RNA is filed under the name uncultured bacterium. Its description in RNAcentral is "bacterial SSU rRNA". It matches the Rfam family "Bacterial small subunit ribosomal RNA", at positions 110 to 729 of the family's 1533-position model. The record is from RNAcentral.